Molecule: ribosomal RNA, 905 nt
Filed under: uncultured crenarchaeote
Lineage: Archaea; Thermoproteati; Thermoproteota
Description: bacterial SSU rRNA
Rfam family: Archaeal small subunit ribosomal RNA
Source: RNAcentral
CCCCACUGCUAUCGGGAUGGGACUAAGACAUGCUAGUCGAGCGUCUCCAAGCUAUGAAAGAGACGCGGCACACAGCUCAGUAACACGUGGCUAACCUGCCCUUGGGACAAGGACAACCCCGGGAAACUGGGGCUAAUCCCUGAUAGGUGAGAACUCCUGGAAUGGAUUCUCGCUGAAAGGACGUUUAGACCAUGCUUCUAGGCGUCGCCCAAGGAGGGGGCCGCGACCGAUCAGGUUGUUGGUGAGGUAACGGCUCACCAAGCCUUUAACCGGUACGGGCCGUGAGAGCGGAAGCCCGGAGAUGGGCACUGAGACAAGGGCCCAGGCCCUACGGGGCGCAGCAGUCGCGAAAACUCCGCAAUACACGAAAGUGUGACGGGGCUAUCCCGAGUGCCAUCUGCUGAGGAUGGCUUUUCCCCAGUGUAUAAAGCUGGGGGAAUAAGGAGAGGGCAAGCCUGGUGUCAGCCGCCGCGGUUAUACCAGCUCUCCGAGUGUGGGGAUGUUAUUGGGCCUAAAGCAUUCGUAGCCUGCUUGGCAAGUCCUCCGUUAAAUCCAACGAUUCAAUCGUUGGGCUGCGGGGGAUACUGUCCGGCUAGGGGGCGGGAGAGGCCGACGGUAUCCCCGGGGUAGGGGUGAAAUCCUAUAAUCCCGGGAGGACCACCAGUGGCGAAGGCUGUCGGCUAGAACGUGCUCGACGGUGAGGGAUGAAAGCUGGGGGAGCGAACCGGAUUAGAUACCCGGGUAGUCCCAGCUGUAAACGAUGCAGGCUAGGUGUUGGCGCGGCUACGUGCCGCUCCAGUGCCGCAGGGAAGCCGUUAAGCCUGCCGCCUGGGAAGUACGGCCGCAAGGCUGAAACUUAAAGGAAUUGGCGGGGGAGCACCACAAGGUGUGAAGCUUGCGGUUUA